Molecule: ribosomal RNA, 434 nt
Filed under: uncultured bacterium
Lineage: Bacteria
Description: partial 16S ribosomal RNA
Rfam family: Bacterial small subunit ribosomal RNA
Source: RNAcentral
GAUGAACGCUGGCGGUAUGCUUAACACAUGCAAGUCGAACGGACUCUUCGGAGUUAGUGGCGGACGGGUGAGUAACGCGUGAGAAUCUGGCUUUGGGUUCGGGACAACCACUGGAAACGGUGGCUAAUACCGGAUGUGCCGAGAGGUAAAAGAGAAAUUGCCUGAAGAUGAGCUCGCGUCUGAUUAGCUAGUUGGUGAGGUAAAGGCUCACCAAGGCAGCGAUCAGUAGCUGGUCUGAGAGGAUGACCAGCCACACUGGGACUGAGACACGGCCCAGACUCCUACGGGAGGCAGCAGUGGGGAAUUUUCCGCAAUGGGCGAAAGCCUGACGGAGCAAUACCGCGGGAGGGAAGAAGGGUCUUGGGUGGUAAACCUCUUUUCUUAGGGAAGAACAAAAUGACGGUACCUAAGGAAUCAGCAUCGGCUAACUCCGU